RNAcentral lists this ribosomal RNA (225 nucleotides) under uncultured bacterium. RNAcentral describes it as "partial 16S ribosomal RNA". It matches the Rfam family "Bacterial small subunit ribosomal RNA", at positions 147 to 353 of the family's 1533-position model. The record is from RNAcentral.
CAGACGGAAACGACUGCUAAUACCGAAUAAGUUCCAAGAGCCGCAUGGCCCAUGGAAGAAAAGGUGGCCUCUACCUGUAAGCUAUCGCCUGAAGAGGGGUUUGCGUCUGAUUAGCUGGUUGGAGGGGUAACGGCCCACCAAGGCGACGAUCNGUAGCCGGUCUGAGAGGAUGAACGGCCACACUGGAACUGAGACACGGUCCAGACUCCUACGGGAGGCAGCAUG